CAAUUUGUUCUCUGGAUACCUCAAGGCUGAUGCAUUCAUUCAUCUCCACAAUUGAGAGAGCCUUGCUAAUCUUCCUGACCAGUUAUGCCUUCUGAAGGAUAUCUCUAUUUUGUAGGCUUGUUAAUGCAAUCAGGUGAAGAUUUUUUUUUUUUUGAGGAUUUUAUUUUUUAAGUUAUUUCUGCACCUAAUGUGGGGCUCAAAGUCACAACACUAAAAAUCAAGAAUCACAUGUUUUAUGGACUGAGCCAGACCAGCGCUCCUGCCGUCAGCCUUUACAGCAUGUGGGACUGAGAACCAAGAAGAGUGAGGAAAUGAAGAAUGGAAACGCCAGUGAUGAGACACGAGCCAGGUGCCACGAGUUGCCCGGAUGCCAAGUCCCAGGACUGUCCAGUCUUCCACAUUGGAUCUGCAGCCGGCCUUCUAAAUAUUCUCGCGGUUAGAAAAUCUAUCCCCCAGACUCACAGAUGCUGUUCUCCCCCCACUGGCUCUGCACAGAACAUCAUUAUCUUUGCCGAGCUUCUGUCUCUAUGGCAAUAACAGAUGGGAAGUGCUGCGGAAUUAUUCAUGUUCAGCAAAGGAGGCAGUCAA
This is a long non-coding RNA of Mustela lutreola (European mink), 588 nucleotides long. RefSeq lists it as uncharacterized. The transcript is spliced from 3 exons. The record is from RefSeq and is a predicted model, not a curated record. NCBI's taxonomy places the organism in Eukaryota, Metazoa, Chordata, Mammalia, Carnivora, Mustelidae.